CCUACGGGAGGCAGCAGUGGGGAAUAUUGCACAAUGGGGGGAACCCUGAUGCAGCGACGCCGCGUGAGUGAAGAAGUAUUUCGUGAUGUAAAGCUCUAUCAGCAGGGAAGAAGAUGACGGUACCUGAUCAAGAAGCCCCGGCUAACUACGUGCCAGCAGCCGCGGUAAUACGUAGGGGGCAAGCGUGAUCCGGAUUUACUGGGUGGAAAGGGAGCGUAGACGGCAGGGCAAGUCUGGAGUGAAAGCCCGGGGCCCAACCCCGGGACUGCUUGGGAAACUGCCAUGCUGGAGUGCGGGAGAGGUAAGCGGAAUUCCUAGUGGAGAGGUGAAAUGCGUAGAGAUUAGGAGGAACACCAGUGGCGAAGGCGGCUUACUGGACAGUAACUGACGUUGAGGCUCGAAAGCGUGGGGAGCAAACAGGAUUAGAUACCCGGGUAGUC
RNAcentral lists this ribosomal RNA (440 nucleotides) under uncultured bacterium. RNAcentral describes it as "partial 16S ribosomal RNA". It matches the Rfam family "Bacterial small subunit ribosomal RNA", at positions 338 to 795 of the family's 1533-position model. The record is from RNAcentral.